This is a long non-coding RNA of Mauremys mutica (yellowpond turtle), 565 nucleotides long. RefSeq lists it as uncharacterized. NCBI's taxonomy places the organism in Eukaryota, Metazoa, Chordata, Testudines, Geoemydidae. The transcript has 4 exons. The record is from RefSeq and is a predicted model, not a curated record.
CUUUAUGAAAACUUCUCAAGAAAAGGAAAUGCCUCUUAAGGUUUUUAGAUCUACAGACCAGAGCUGCCAGAUGAUAACCUGCUUGGCAUGUUUUUUUGAUAUGCAUGGCAUUUUUUCCUCACACCCUGGUAUUUAACCCUCUUAAAAGAAUUUGCCAGAAGGAAGAAUUCUCGCUUGCCAUGGAUGCAUCCUUGAAAAAGGGAUGAAGAUGAUCAAUAAGAAAUUGGACUAGGAUACUGCAAAUUAGCAUCUCCAUCUCCAUCUUUCUGCUUACAACAACACAAAAUCUUUACAAGCUAAAUCCUGACUGUGGAGGAACAACCAUGGGAGAGCAGAGGUUGAUCCUGUGACAUGCAUGUCCUGCCAGUCUAGUGUGGGUUAUCUCACAGAUAGCUAGCAAUCAUCAGAAAGUCAAUGGCACCAAAGUUGUCCUUCAGCUCCUAAUCAAGGUCAUUAUGAGAGAGUGCACGUGUGCCCACACACACAGAGAAAGGUAUUAUUCUGACUGACAGAAUAUGUUAAAUGUUUGACAGUCUCCAGAUUAUCUGCAGUUACGUUGAACAUA